This 70-nucleotide ribosomal RNA is filed under the name Streptomyces albidoflavus. RNAcentral describes it as "partial 23S ribosomal RNA". The record is from RNAcentral. Lineage: Bacteria; Bacillati; Actinomycetota; Actinomycetes; Kitasatosporales; Streptomycetaceae.
GCCGGAUAUGGAAGCCCUGUAAGGGGUGGAGUUGACCGGUACUAAUAGGCCGAGGGCUUGUCCUCAGUUG